CGCUUUCGGGCGGUCGACGACCGGCGCACGGGUGCGUAACGCGUAUGCAACCUUCCCGGUACAGGGGUUCAGCCCGAAGAAAUUCGGAUUACUGCCCCAUACGGUUUAGAGACGGCAUCGUUUUUAAACAAAAGCUCCGGCGGUAUCGGAUGGGCAUGCGUGCCAUUAGUUAGUUGGUAAGGUAAUUGCUUACCAAGGCGAUGAUGGCUAGGGGGUCUUAAAGGAUGGUCCCCCACACUGGUACUGAGACACGGACCAGACUCCUACGGGAGGCAGCAGUGAGGAAUAUUGCGCAAUGGAGGCAACUCUGACGCAGCCAUGCCGCGUGCAGGAAUACAGCCCUAUGGGUUUUAAACUGCUUUUAUACGAGAAGAACCGGGUCUAUUUUUAGACUUCUGACGGUAUUGUAUGAAUAAGCAUCGGCUAACUCCGUGCCAGCAGCCGCGGUAAUACGGAGGAUGCGAGUGUUAUCCGGAUUUAUUAGGUUUAAAGGGUGCGCAGGCGGGAUAAUCAGUCAUCGGUGAAAUACUUCGGCUUAACCGGAGAACUGCCGGUGAUACUGUUAUUCUUGAGUUCGGAUGAGGCAAGCGGAAUGCGUAGUGUAGCGGUGAAAUGCAUAGAUAUUACGCAGAACCCCUAUUGCGAAGGCAGCUUGCUAAACCGCGACUGACGCUGAGGCACGAAAGCGCGGGGAGCGAACAGGAUUAGAUACCCUGGUAGUCCGCGCCGUAAACGAUGAUUACUCGUUGUGUGCGAUACACGGUACGCGACUGAGCGAAAGCAUUAAGUAAUCCACCUGGGGAGUACGUCGGCAACGAUGACACUCAAAGGACUUGACGGGGGCCCGAACAAGCGGAGGUACAUGUGGUUUAAUUCGAUGAUACGCGAGGACAUUACCCGGGCUUAAAUGUGGCAUGUACGCCGUUGAAAGAUGGUUUCCCUUCGGGGCAAGUUACAAGGUGCUGCAUGGCUGUCGUCAGCUCGUGCCGUGAGGUGUCGGGUUAAGUCUCAUAACGAGCGCAACCCCUGCUGUUAGUUGCCAGCAUUUCGGAUGGGGACUCUGACAGGACUGCCGCCGUAAGGUGAGAGGAAGUUGGGGAUGACGUCAAGUCAGCACGGCCUUUAUGUCCGGGGCUACACACGUGUUACAAUGGCAGGUACAAAGGGCAGCUACACCGCGAGGUGAUGCUAAUCUCAAAAAUCUGUCUCAGUUCGGAUCGGAGUCUGGAACUCGACUCCGUGAAGUUGGAUUCGCUAGUAAUCGUAUAUCAGCAAUGAUACGGUGAUACGUUCCCGGGCAUUGUACACACCGCCCGUCAAGCCAUGGAAGCCGGGAGU
This 1338-nucleotide ribosomal RNA is filed under the name uncultured organism. RNAcentral's name for it is "bacterial SSU rRNA". It matches the Rfam family "Bacterial small subunit ribosomal RNA", at positions 75 to 1418 of the family's 1533-position model. The record is from RNAcentral.